GAUGAACGCUGGCGGCGUGCCUAAUACAUGCAAGUCGAGCGAACAGACGAGGAUCUUGCUCCUCUGACGUUAGCGGCGGACGGGUGAGUAACACGUGUAUAACCUACCUGUAAUACUGGUAUAACUUCGGGAAACCGGAGCUAAUACCGGAUGAUAUAUUGAACCGCAUGGUUCAAUAGUGAAAUACGGUUUUGCUGUCACUUAUAGAUGGAUCCGCGCUGCAUUAGCUAGUUGGUAAGGUAACGGCUUACCAAGGCAACGAUGCGUAGCCGACCUGAGAGGGUGAUCGGCCACACUGGAACUGAGACACGGUCCAGACUCCUACGGGAGGCAGCAGUAGGGAAUCUUCCGCAAUGGGCGAAAGCCUGACGGAGCAACGCCGCGUGAGUGAUGAAGGUCUUCGGAUCGUAAAACUCUGUUAUUAGGGAAGAACAAAUGUGUAAGUAACUAUGCACGUCUUGACGGUACCUAAUCAGAAAGCCACGGCUAACUACGUG
RNAcentral lists this ribosomal RNA (497 nucleotides) under uncultured bacterium. RNAcentral's name for it is "partial 16S ribosomal RNA". It matches the Rfam family "Bacterial small subunit ribosomal RNA", at positions 28 to 507 of the family's 1533-position model. The record is from RNAcentral.